RNAcentral lists this ribosomal RNA (253 nucleotides) under uncultured bacterium. RNAcentral's name for it is "partial 16S ribosomal RNA". It matches the Rfam family "Bacterial small subunit ribosomal RNA", at positions 524 to 776 of the family's 1533-position model. The record is from RNAcentral.
UACGUAGGGGGCAAGCGUUAUCCGGAUUUACUGGGUGUAAAGGGAGCGUAGACGGCUUUGCAAGCCAGACGUGAAAGCCCGGGGCUCAACCCCGGGACUGCAUUUGGAACUGCGUGGCUAGAGUGUCGGAGAGGCAGGCGGAAUUCCUAGUGUAGCGGUGAAAUGCGUAGAUAUUAGGAGGAACACCAGUGGCGAAGGCGGCCUGCUGGACGAUGACUGACGUUGAGGCUCGAAAGCGUGGGGAGCAAACAGG